This 26-nucleotide non-coding RNA is filed under the name Rattus norvegicus (Norway rat). Lineage: Eukaryota; Metazoa; Chordata; Mammalia; Rodentia; Muridae. The record is from RNAcentral.
UGGCUAAAGUGAAUGUGUGACCGGCA